UACAGGGGGGGGCAAGCGUUGUUCGGAAUUACUGGGCGUAAAGGGCUCGUAGGCGGCCAACUAAGUCCGACGUGAAAUCCCCAAGCUUAACUUGGGAACUGCGUCGGAUACUGGAUGGCUUGAAUUCGGGAGAGGGAUGCAGAAUUCCAGGUGUAGCGGUGAAAUGCGUAGAUAUCUGGAGGAAUACCGGUGGCGAAGGCGGCAUCCUGGACCGACAUUGACGCUGAGGAGCGAAAGCUAGGGGAGCAAACGGG
This 254-nucleotide ribosomal RNA is filed under the name uncultured bacterium. RNAcentral describes it as "partial 16S ribosomal RNA". It matches the Rfam family "Bacterial small subunit ribosomal RNA", at positions 524 to 776 of the family's 1533-position model. The record is from RNAcentral.